Molecule: long non-coding RNA, 620 nt
Organism: Ochotona princeps (American pika)
Lineage: Eukaryota; Metazoa; Chordata; Mammalia; Lagomorpha; Ochotonidae
Exons: 4
Source: RefSeq, a predicted model, not a curated record
CCUUGGGCUGCUGGAAGCCAUUCUGGCAGUCACUCAAAGGACAUCAAACAGUAAACGAAGCUUCAUUAUAUGGGAUUUGUAUAGCUUUAUGUAAAUUCUCAGAAAUGAAGAUUACCCCAUCUGCCCACACUUGAAAUGUGUGAGGGAUAAUGUAAAGACACAAUACCUAUUGAAGUCUUCGGAAAGAAAAGCAAUGAAAUCUUUAUCUUCAAUCCAGAGAGUCAAUGAACUUGAACUCCAGUAUGACUUCCACAGCAACAAGCUGUAACCACAGUUUCUAACAAUCUCCCAGGAGAAAGAGGAGAUGUUCAGCCUGGAAUACAAGCCCAAGGAGAGGCUGAUGCUGAUGCUGCUGGCACACCACAUACAGGCUGAGUGUGGUUUAUCAACCACAAGAUCAGUUCAAGGACUAUUACUCAAAGAGCAGCUUCUAUUUUGGGUGAAUAUAAACAUGGAUUCAAAAAUGCUGUGGAAGCCUCUAGCGUGACUUGAUGAACUUUGUGUUGUGGCCUUCAUUUUAAUCCCUAUCUAUUACUGUUCUUUUUCUUUGUAGUGUCUUUGGAUUAAGAAUAAACAACUUUUUUCAGCACCCAUCUAAGCCAGGACAUUUUGCAAGGGAA